UACGGAGGGUGCAAGCGUUGUCCGGAAUCACUGGGCGUAAAGGGCGCGUAGGCGGCCUGGUAAGUAGGGGGGUGAAAUCCUGCGGCUUAACCGCAGGGCUGCCUUCUAAACUGUCAGGCUUGAGCACGGUAGAGGCAGAUGGAAUUCCCGGUGUAGCGGUGGAAUGCGUAGAGAUCGGGGAAGAACAUCAGUGGCGAAGGCGGUCUGCUGGGCCGUUGCUGACGCUGAGGCGCGACAGCGUGGGGAGCAAACAGG
RNAcentral lists this ribosomal RNA (255 nucleotides) under uncultured bacterium. RNAcentral's name for it is "partial 16S ribosomal RNA". It matches the Rfam family "Bacterial small subunit ribosomal RNA", at positions 524 to 776 of the family's 1533-position model. The record is from RNAcentral.